This is a non-coding RNA of Alligator mississippiensis (American alligator), 657 nucleotides long. NCBI's taxonomy places the organism in Eukaryota, Metazoa, Chordata, Crocodylia, Alligatoridae. The record is from the annotation of a RefSeq genome assembly.
AUGGGUUCCCUGGCCCUGUACGUGAUGACACAGUCACCUGUGGUGUCCAUCUCACCAGGACAAACUGCUGAACUGACCUGCACAGGGAGAAAUGUUGGUACCUACGUGAGUUGGUACCACCAGAAACUUGGCAGUGCCCCUGUGCUGUUUAUAUAUGAGAAUACCAAGCGACCCUCCAGCAUCCCUGACCGAUUCUCUGGUGCCAGAUCUGGGAACACGGCCACGUUGUCCAUCACUGGAGUCCAGGCCCAGGACGAGGCUGAUUAUUACUGUUUUGCUUAUGAUAAAGACAGCAGCACUCCUCACAGUGACACAGAGCAAUGGGGAAGUUCUCUUGCUGAGAGCAUGACAACUCGGCCGCCUUCAGUGUCCGUCUCUCCCAGACAAACUGCUACACUCACCUGCACAGCAAAUACCAUUAGUGGUUUCGGAGCAAGUUGGUACCAACAGAAACCUGGGAGUGCCCCCCUGAUUGUUAUGGGCAAUGAUAAUAACAGACCCUCUGGUAUCUCGGAGCGGUUUUCUGGCUCCAAGUCCGAGAACACGGCCACGUUGACCAUCACUGGAGUCCAAGCUUUGGACGAGGCUGAUUAUUACUGCUUUGCUCUUGUUGGUGGCACUACUACUCCACACAAUGACAGUGCAAUGGGGAAGUGA